Molecule: ribosomal RNA, 498 nt
Filed under: uncultured bacterium
Lineage: Bacteria
Description: partial 16S ribosomal RNA
Rfam family: Bacterial small subunit ribosomal RNA
Source: RNAcentral
GACGAACGCUGGCGGCGUGCCUAAUACAUGCAAGUCGAACGAGAGCGACCGGUGCUUGCACUGGUCAAUCUAGCGGCGAACGGGUGAGUAACACGUGGGUAACCUGCCCAUCAGAGGGGGAUAACAUCCGGAAACGGAUGCUAAAACCGCAUAGGUCUUCGAACCGCAUGGUUUGAAGAGGAAAAGAGGCGCAAGCUUCUGCUGAUGGAUGUACCCGCGGUGCAUUAGCUAGUUGGUGAGGUAACGGCUCACCAAGGCCGUGAUGCAUAGCCGACCUGAGAGGGUGAUCGGCCACACUGGAACUGAGACACGGCCCAGACUCCUACGGGAGGCAGCAGUAGGGAAUAUUCCGCAAUGGACGAAAGUCUGACGGAGCAACGCCGCGUGAGUGAAGAAGGUCUUCGGAUCGUAAAACUCUGUUGUUAGGGAAGAACAAGUGCUAGAGUAACUGUUAGCGCCUUGACGGUAUCUAAACAGAAAGCCACGGCUAACUACGUG